This 49-nucleotide non-coding RNA is filed under the name Trypanosoma vivax. Lineage: Eukaryota; Euglenozoa; Kinetoplastea; Trypanosomatida; Trypanosomatidae. The record is from RNAcentral.
ACAAUAAACAUAAACGAAAAAGAAAAGCAAAGAUAGAGAAACUACUUAG